GCUACAGGCUUAACACAUGCAAGGUCAGGGGCAGCAUGGUCUUAGCUUGCUAAGGCCGAUGGCGACCGGCGCACGGGUGAGUAACACGUAUCCAACCUGCCGUCUACUCUUGGACAGCAUUCUGAAAGGAAGAUUAAUACAAGAUGGCAUCAUGAGUCCGCAUGUUCACAUGAUUAAAGGUAUUCCGGUAGACGAUGGGGAUGCGUUCCAUUAGAUAGGUAGGCGGGGUAACGGCCCACCUAGUCUUCGAUGGAUAGGGGUUCUGAGAGGAAGGUCCCCCACAUUGGAACUGAGACACGGUCCAAACUCCUACGGGAGGCAGCAGUGGGGAAUAUUGGGCAAUGGGCGCAAGCCUGACCCAGCAACGCCGCGUGAAGGAAGAAGGCUUUCGGGUUGUAAACUGCUUUUGUCAGGGACGAAAAGGAUCGUGAUAAUACCAUGGUCUGCUGACGGUACCUGAAGAAUAAGCACCGGCUAACUACGUG
Molecule: ribosomal RNA, 485 nt
Filed under: uncultured bacterium
Lineage: Bacteria
Description: bacterial SSU rRNA
Rfam family: Bacterial small subunit ribosomal RNA
Source: RNAcentral